AUACGGAGGGUGCAAGCGUUACUCGGAAUCACUGGGCGUAAAGCGCGCGCAGGCGGUCUUUUAAGUUGGAUGUGAAAGCCUACAGCUCAACUGUAGAACUGCAUCCAAAACUAUUAGACUAGAGUCUGGGAGGGGAAGAUGGAGUUAGUUGUGUAGGGGUAAAAUCCGUAGAGAUAACUAGGAAUACCAAAAGCGAAGGCGAUCUUCUGGAACAGUACUGACGCUGAGGCGCGAAAGCGUGGGGAGCAAACAGGAUUAGAAACCCCGGUAGUCC
RNAcentral lists this ribosomal RNA (274 nucleotides) under uncultured bacterium. Its description in RNAcentral is "partial 16S ribosomal RNA". It matches the Rfam family "Bacterial small subunit ribosomal RNA", at positions 523 to 796 of the family's 1533-position model. The record is from RNAcentral.